Myotis daubentonii (Daubenton's bat) is the source of this 3396-nucleotide long non-coding RNA. RefSeq lists it as uncharacterized. The record is from RefSeq and is a predicted model, not a curated record. The transcript is spliced from 5 exons. NCBI's taxonomy places the organism in Eukaryota, Metazoa, Chordata, Mammalia, Chiroptera, Vespertilionidae.
AGGCCCCGCCCCCAGCGGAACCGCGCCGAGUGCCGCCGUGCUGGGAUGUCCUAUUGUACCCUGGGGUUCCUUUCCGGACGGGGGUGCAAAAUGGAAGGAGUUUUCAAGGUAAAGCAUGAUAAAGGGACUUGCAAUGAUUAGCGCGCUUGAUUCCAGUGCCUCUAAGAACUGGCGAGAGAGACAACGCGAGCCUCCCCCUGAGCGCCCAAUUGGUUUGACCCAGCCAAGAUGGCGGCCGCCGGGUUUCCCGCACUCCGCCCGCUGACGCGGCCCGUCCGUCUGCCAGCCGGCCCGCCUCGCUUGGAAGGAAGCAUGCGCGACCUGCGGAGCUGAGGAGCGGGGCAUUUUGGAAGUUGAAGUCUCCUGCUCGGGCCCCUCGUCUGGGAGGAAGGUUCCGGCGGUACAUUUUUGUCUGCUCCAACUUCGAGUCCGGAACUAGCGAGCAGAAGUUGGACCCGGGAUGGUGUGGCACCGGAGCCGAGGAGGGGGUGAUGCCGGCCUUCUGGACACGGAGACCUCAUCCCGCUUUCCAUAGGAGCCCUGGCUGAGCUGCCCAUCCGGAAUAGUGCGUUCUUGGAUGAACGUGGCAGGUAGAGGCACUUGUCCCAGAUCACACAGCCAGGAAGUGGAACAAGCUGGCUACAGUUCCGGCAUUCCCAGCAUUCUGCUCCUGGAAAUAAGUUUGGCAGGUGCCUAAAUGCAACCUCACAUGUUGGGACUUACGACCGUCUGGAAGGAGGCACCCUCCAUUACCAGAGAGAACACAGACUGACUGAGGGUCCCUUUGGGCGGUGGCUCCUGGAGGGAAAUGUGGCCUGGAUUUCCUGGAACACGUGGAGCUGGAGUCCCAGUGCUGCAAGGAGGGAGCUGCUGGCAGCAGAGUGACACCCUGCCCCCCAACUUAACUGGGUUCUCUGGAGCAAGUGGCCACUUUGAGCUGGAUUUCUGUCACUUACAACCAAAAGAGAACUGGCCAAUUCCAGGUAGAAACACGUGGGAACGUUGGAAAAGGAAAGUAGUUGGGGUGGUGAAGAAUUGGCUGGAAAUUCUUUCUGAUAGGGGUAGGACUUGAGUAGGGUAUUGAUAAAUGAAGAAGAUUUUGAUGCAUGAAGAAGAAACAAUAUUUCCAGUGAGGGGAGCAGCUCGGGCAAAGGCUUGGCAGUGGAACCUGCAAGGGCGGGCACAGUCAGUGUGGCUGGGAAAAGGGGGAGGGUAGAGAAGUGGUGGGAAAGGGACUGGCAGGGAGGGAUGUGCCUGAAUUGUGCAGAAAAUCAGUCUAUUCCUUUGCCUACAUCCUCCUUCCUUCAUCGGUUAAGUUAUCCACAAUCAUUUAUGAAGCACCUACUAUGUGCCUGGCACUCUUGAAGGGCUGGUGAGAGCAGUGGACAACACAGGCAAAGUCCUAGUCCUCUUAUAGUUUCCAUUCUAGUCAAAGGAGACAGGCAGUAAACAAGAUAACUAGAUAAAUAAGUAUCAUAGAGUCAGUAAUGACUUAUGAAGAAAAACUAAGACAAGGGGAUAAAGACUGGUGGAAAGCUGUUUGGGAUGAUGAAAAUGGUUGCACCACAUUGUGGAUGUACUUAAUGCCAUGGAAUUGUACACUUAAAAAUGGUUAAAAUUUUAUGUUACAUAUAUAUUACCACACACAAAACAAAAGAUUGGUGGAGGAGUGUUGUUCUAGCUUGGGUGGUCAGGGCAGGCCUCCUUGAGAAGGUGGUAUUUGAGCAGAGAUUUGAAUGAAGGGAAUUAGCAAGGUAGAUGAGGGGAGAACAUUCUAGGCAGAUGGCAAUGGGCCUGGUGUGUUCCAGGAACUGCUAGGAGACUGGUGUGCCUGGAGCUCAGAGAGCAAGGGGAGUGGGAGGGAGAUGAGGUGAUAAGGGCAGUAGAGAUUGGCACCCCACGAGAGAACCUUCCAUUUUAUUGUAAGAGUGAUGGGAAGCCUUUGCAGGAUUGAGCAGGGGAGGGACAUGAACUGACCCUUUUUACUCAACUCUUCCCUCUCUCCCACACUCCAUUGAGGUAUUUAUUUCACCUCUGCUUCCUGUAUAUCUCUGCUGGCUGCUGCCCUCUUUUGCCUGCCUUCAUGACUGUUACCUAGUUGAGGUCAUCAUUUUUACAUGGAUGACCCAAGUGGCCUCCAACCAGCCUCUGGGCCGUCCCCCAGCCAGCCCUCACCUUGGUCACCAGGGGCUUUCCACCUGCACCUCUGAGUAGUCCUUCCCUUAGUGAAGUAGUCCUUCCCAAGUCCCUGUCUACAGUGUGUUCUCAAUAAAUAACUACUUUUAUAAAAACCCUGGGUGGUAUUCAUCGCGUCGAGAACCGCCGUGACCAAGUGGAAGGAAGUCAGUCCUGCAGGGGUUAUCUUGGCGAUGGCUGUGCCCUCCCCCGAGCUGUUUCCCCAGAGCUGUUUCCUGUAAGGGUGGGGUUUGAGGUAGGAACCUGCCCUGGGAGCUGGAGGCAUAUCUUUAUGAAGUGUGCCAUGCCAGCAUGGCCAAGGGUGAACCUGAGUAGGGGCAGCUGAAAGGCUUAGAAAAGACAGACAAGAGAAUGAAAUCUGGGUCUUGGUGGGACACUGCUUCUCUGAGAGACAGCGACCAUGCCCACAGCCGUGUCUUUAUUUUAUUGCAGAUUUGCCACAAGGCAAAGUAAGGGCGUGACCAAGAUGUUUACAACAUUCUCCUGGGUUUCAAUCCUACUCAACUACAUGCACCUGAACUCUAUCAAGCCUACAUCACUCAGGCACGUGGGGCCAUGUGUUUGGACCAUAGGUUCAAGCUUACAACUAUAGCUGUUGGCUAUAAUUGUGCCAGGAGGGCCCUGCCCUCCAAGCUGGGACUUGCACGUGGCAAUGAGAGGACUGUGCCCUCUCAUCAGUCCAAGGCUUGAACCUGUCCAAAACACUGUAGCGACUCCCCACAAUAAAGUUUUAAUUCUGUUUCUUUGUUACUAAUGUUGUGGCCCCACCCCAUAACAAAGAAACAAUUUCAGGAGGAUGAGGCCCAGGAAUCAGGAUUUUAAAAAGAUUCCCAGGUGAUUCUAAUGUGCAGCCAAGGUUGAGAACCACUGCUAUAGAUAAUAUUAAAAAUAUAUCUAAAUGUGCAAUUCUUUGUCCAAAAAAUGAGCAUGUUCAAAAUUAAAUGAAGAAAAUUUGGAUAUACUCAAUGGAGAUUUUCACACAUAUUUGAGCGAUGAUUCCAUUGAUUCCACAGAUGAUGCUGAAAAGGAAAAUUUUCCCAUCGAAUUUCUUAAUAGUAUUACUCCUUCGGGAAUGCCGUGUCAUAAAUUAAAAUUGAAAGUAGAUGCAAUCAUCAUGCUAUUGAGAAAUCUCAAUAGUAAAUGGGGUCUUUGUAAUGGUACCAGAUUUAUUAUCAAAAGAUUACGACCUAACAUUAUUGA